RNAcentral lists this ribosomal RNA (857 nucleotides) under uncultured Actinomycetes bacterium. Its description in RNAcentral is "bacterial SSU rRNA". It matches the Rfam family "Bacterial small subunit ribosomal RNA", at positions 28 to 897 of the family's 1533-position model. The record is from RNAcentral. Lineage: Bacteria; Bacillati; Actinomycetota; Actinomycetes.
GACGAACGCUGGCGGCGUGCUUAACACAUGCAAGUCGAGCGGAAAGGCCUCUUCGGGGGUACUCGAGCGGCGAACGGGUGAGUAACACGUGAGUAACCUGCCCCAGGCUUUGGGAUAACCCUCGGAAACGGGGGCUAAUACCGGAUAUGACAUGUCAUCGCAUGGUGGUGUGUGGAAAGUUUUUUCGGCCUGGGAUGGGCUCGCGGCCUAUCAGCUUGUUGGUGGGGUGAUGGCCUACCAAGGCGAUGACGGGUAGCCGGCCUGAGAGGGCGACCGGCCACACUGGGACUGAGACACGGCCCAGACUCCUACGGGAGGCAGCAGUGGGGAAUAUUGCACAAUGGGCGGAAGCCUGAUGCAGCGACGCCGCGUGAGGGAUGAAGGCCUUCGGGUUGUAAACCUCUUUCAGCAGGGACGAAGCGUUUUGUGACGGUACCUGCAGAAGAAGCGCCGGCCAACUACGUGCCAGCAGCCGCGGUAAGACGUAGGGCGCGAGCGUUGUCCGGAUUUAUUGGGCGUAAAGGGCUCGUAGGCGGCUUGUCGCGUCGACUGUGAAAACCCGUGGCUCAACUGCGGGCUUGCAGUCGAUACGGGCAGGCUAGAGUUCGGUAGGGGAGACUGGAAUUCCUGGUGUAGCGGUGAAAUGCGCAGAUAUCAGGAGGAACACCGGUGGCGAAGGCGGGUCUCUGGGCCGAUACUGACGCUGAGGAGCGAAAGCGUGGGGAGCGAACAGGAUUAGAUACCCUGGUAGUCCACGCUGUAAACGUUGGGCGCUAGGUGUGGGGGGCCUCUCCGGUUUCCUGUGCCGUAGCUAACGCAUUAAGCGCCCCGCCUGGGGAGUACGGCCGCAAGGCUAA